This 905-nucleotide ribosomal RNA is filed under the name marine metagenome. RNAcentral describes it as "bacterial SSU rRNA". It matches the Rfam family "Archaeal small subunit ribosomal RNA", at positions 260 to 1165 of the family's 1478-position model. The record is from RNAcentral.
AUUACAGGUACGGGCUCUGAGAGGAGAAGCCCGGAGAUGGGUACUGAGACAAGGACCCAGGCCCUAUGGGGCGCAGCAGGCGAGAAAACUUUGCAAUGUGCGAAAGCACGACAAGGUUAAUCCGAGUGAUUUCUGCUAAAGAAAUCUUUUGCAAGUCAUAAAACCACUAGUGAAUAAGGGGUGGGCAAGUUCUGGUGUCAGCCGCCGCGGUAAAACCAGCACCUCAAGUGGUCAGGAGGAUUAUUGGGCCUAAAGCAUCCGUAGCCUGUUCUAUAAGUUUGCGGUUAAAUCUAUACGCUCAACGUAUAGGCUGCCGUAAAUACUGUAGAACUAGGGAGUGGGAGAGGUAGACGGUACUUGGUAGGAAGGGGUAAAAUCCUUUGAUCUAUCGAUGACCACCUGUGGCGAAGGCGGUCUACCAGAACACGUUCGACGGUGAGGGAUGAAAGCUGGGGGAGCAAACCGGAUUAGAUACCCGGGUAGUCCCAGCUGUAAACGAUGCAGACUCGAUGAUGCAUUGGCAUAUAGCCAGUGCAGUGUCGCAGGGAAGCCGUUAAGUCUGCCGCCUGGGAAGUACGUACGCAAGUAUGAAACUUAAAGGAAUUGGCGGGGGAGCACCACAAGGGGUGAAGCCUGCGGUUCAAUUGGAGUCAACGCCAGAAAUCUUACCCGGAGAGACAGCAGAAUGAAGGUCAAGCUGAAGACUUUACCAGACAAGCUGAGAGGUGGUGCAUGGCCGUCGUCAGCUCGUGCCGUGAGAUGUCCUGUUAAGUCAGGUAACGAGCGAGAUCCCUACCACUAGUUGCUAUCAUUACUCUCAGGAGUAGUGGAGCGAAUUAGUGGGACCGCUGUAGUAAUAUGGAGGAAGGAAGGGGCCACGGCAGGUCAGUAUGCCCCGAAACUCU